GGCUCAGAACGAACGCUGGCGGCAGGCCUAACACAUGCAAGUCGAGCGCUCACUUCGGUGGGAGCGGCGGACGGGUUAGUAACGCGUGGGAACGUACCCUUUUCUGCGGGAUAGCCUUGGGAAACUGAGAGUAAUACCGCAUACGCCCUUUGGGGGAAAGAUUUAUCGGAGAAGGAUCGGCCCGCGUUAGAUUAGAUAGUUGGUGGGGUAAUGGCCUACCAAGUCUACGAUCUAUAGCUGGUUUUAGAGGAUGAUCAGCAACACUGGGACUGAGACACGGCCCAGACUCCUACGGGAGGCAGCAGUGGGGAAUCUUAGACAAUGGGCGCAAGCCUGAUCUAGCCAUGCCGCGUGUGUGAUGAAGGCCUUAGGGUCGUAAAG
This 381-nucleotide ribosomal RNA is filed under the name alpha proteobacterium R-43079. Its description in RNAcentral is "bacterial SSU rRNA". It matches the Rfam family "Bacterial small subunit ribosomal RNA", at positions 21 to 430 of the family's 1533-position model. Lineage: Bacteria; Pseudomonadati; Pseudomonadota; Alphaproteobacteria. The record is from RNAcentral.